Molecule: ribosomal RNA, 434 nt
Filed under: Phylinae Melaleucoides group sp. 352
Lineage: Eukaryota; Metazoa; Arthropoda; Insecta; Hemiptera; Miridae
Description: partial 16S ribosomal RNA
Rfam family: Bacterial large subunit ribosomal RNA (bases 300-434)
Source: RNAcentral
AUAAUCAUUUGUCUUUUAAUUGAAGUCUGGUAUGAAUGGUCGGAUGAAAAGUUAACUUUCUUUAUUUUAUAAAAAAAAUUAAACUUUUGGGUUAAAAGGCCUAGAUGUUAGUAUAGGACGAGAAGACCCUAUAGAACUUUAUUUUUUUAAAAUAAUAAUUUUUUCGUUUAUGAUUUUUUAUUAUUUGACAAAAAUUUUGUUGGGGUGACAGAAAAAAUUUUAUAACUUUUUUAUUUUUAAUCAUUUAUAUAUGAUUUAUUGAUCCUUUAUUAUGGAUAAUUAGAUUAAGUUACCUUAGGGAUAACAGCGUUAUUAUUUCAGAGAGCUCAUAUUAAUGAAAUAGUUUGCGACCUCGAUGUUGGAUUAAAAUUAGUUUCAGGGGUAGAAGAUUGAUUGACUAGGUCUGUUCGACCUUUAAAUUUUUACAUGAUCUG